This 253-nucleotide ribosomal RNA is filed under the name uncultured bacterium. RNAcentral's name for it is "partial 16S ribosomal RNA". It matches the Rfam family "Bacterial small subunit ribosomal RNA", at positions 524 to 776 of the family's 1533-position model. The record is from RNAcentral.
UACGAAGGGGGCUAGCGUUGCUCGGAAUCACUGGGCGUAAAGCGCACGUAGGCGGACCAUCAAGUCGGAUGUGAAAUCCCUCGGCUUAACCGAGGACGUGCAUUCGAUACUGAUGGCCUUGAGUACGAAAGAGGAUCGCGGAAUUCCCGGUGUAGAGGUGAAAUUCGUAGAUAUCGGGAGGAACACCAGUGGCGAAGGCGGCGAUCUGGGUCGAUACUGACGCUGAGGUGCGAAAGCGUGGGGAGCAAACAGG